CCUGCCUACAGCCAGGGGGUCUGAGCUCCGUGGAGUAGGACUGGAGCUGUCACUACCCCUCUCUGGACCCAACUUCCCUCAUCUGCAAAACAGGAGGGCGUUUCUCUGUCUUACGUUGUGUCUGCUCAUGUCCUGUUUUUCUACCACAAUGGCCUCCUACCCCGUGUUCACCUGUGUAACAGGACAUGGCUGGAGAAACAUACCCCUUAGAGGCCUGCAUGCCGCCCAGCAAUCCUUCAUUCCCCUGGCCAUUUAUUUUCUCAUUCUGCUAUGAAGGACUUCAUACUUUGCCCUCUCUCCUCAAACUUCCAUCGUCUCCUUAGUCUCCAUUCUCCGCUGAGGACUCUGCUUCUUAGUGAACUGAGAAAAGAGGCAGGUGCACACCUACCACCUCCUUAGAUGCUCCUACUUAGGAUCCCUUCCCCAGCUCAUGCCUGGAUUCUACCUCUCCCACCUCCUCGAGACCACCAUUUCAGAAC
RNAcentral lists this long non-coding RNA (479 nucleotides) under Homo sapiens (human). RNAcentral's name for it is "HSALNT0172300". Lineage: Eukaryota; Metazoa; Chordata; Mammalia; Primates; Hominidae. The record is from RNAcentral.